Molecule: ribosomal RNA, 554 nt
Filed under: Hepatozoon sp.
Lineage: Eukaryota; Apicomplexa; Hepatozoidae
Description: bacterial SSU rRNA
Rfam family: Eukaryotic small subunit ribosomal RNA
Source: RNAcentral
ACGGGGAAUUAGGGUUCAAUUCCGGAGAGGGAGCCUGAGAAACGGCUACCACAUCUAAGGAAGGCAGCAGGCGCGCAAAUUACCCAAUUCUAACAGCAUAAGAGAGGUAGUGACAAGAAAUAACAGUACAAGGCAGUUAAAAUGCUUUGUAAUUGGAAUGAUAGAAAUUUAAAUACUUUUUAAAGUAUCAAUUGGAGGGCAAGUCUGGUGCCAGCAGCCGCGGUAAUUCCAGCUCCAAUAGCGUAUAUUAAAAUUGUUGCAGUUAAAAAGCUCGUAGUUGAAUUUCUGCUAAAAAUAACCGGUCUGCUUUUAUUAAUAAAAGUGGUAUCUUGGUGUGUUUUUAGCAAUAAUGUCCUUUGAAAUGUUUUUUACUUUAUUGCGAAAAGCAAUUUUCAGGAUUUUUACUUUGAGAAAAUUAGAGUGUUUCAAGCAGGCUAACGUUUUGAAUACUGCAGCAUGGAAUAAUAAAAUAGGAUUUUAGUUCUACGUUAUUGGUUUUAAGAACUAAAUUAAUGAUUGAUAGGAGCAGUUGGGGGCAUUUGUAUUUAACUGUC